GUCCACAAUGGGACUCGAACGAUGCUCGCCAUGCACCACGAUACGCUACGGACACACAAACCGGCCAUGUGGCCUACAUUGGAGCGAAGCCCGGGGCCUGGAGGAGACAGCCGACCUCCGGGCGCGAGACCCGAUCACAAGCGAGCAACGAAUACAGCCCUGCUAUCCCCCCCUCUGGACCGGCAGGGGAUAUCCCGGUCCUCGCAGGGGACGAUUACCCCCA
This is a non-coding RNA of Pelobates cultripes (western spadefoot toad), 223 nucleotides long. The record is from the annotation of a GenBank genome assembly. NCBI's taxonomy places the organism in Eukaryota, Metazoa, Chordata, Amphibia, Anura, Pelobatidae.